RNAcentral lists this long non-coding RNA (1186 nucleotides) under Macaca mulatta (Rhesus monkey). RNAcentral's name for it is "lncRNA (ENSMMUG00000050764.1)". The record is from RNAcentral. Lineage: Eukaryota; Metazoa; Chordata; Mammalia; Primates; Cercopithecidae.
CAUAACUUCUGGCCCUGAAAUGUAAUCAUAGGCUUCAGACCCUUGCUCCACAUAGCCUGGGCAGGGAUAUGCAGCAAGUAACCCAGCUUUCAGCGGAACCAGCCCUGCCUCAGAUCUCCUUACUCAGAACCUGCAUUUUUUUAAGAUUACCAGGGGAUUUAUGUGCACCUUGAAGUAUGCUACCUGUGCCGCACCCACACCCUUUUCUGGAACAGCACUUUCGGGCCACUGCAGGCCCCAGGAUCUUCCCUCUGUGGAAGAAACCUGCUUUGGGAAACGACAGGAAGCAGCUUGGGUACUAGGUGCGUAAUAUUUGGUCGUGAAAUCAGGAGAAUAAUGGGAGAAUGGAAUAUUUUCAGUCACUGGCUCUCAGUGAGCAGUGAAAAAAACUAAUGCCCUUGUGAAAUGCAGGCAUUAGCUGUAUUUUUUGCCCUCCUCCCCUAGAACACAGUCCAGUAAAAAACGGGGGCUAUGACUUUCAGGUAGCAAGCGCGCUCACGUGGCCUAUACGUUGCACGGGGUGUUUUGCACCCGGCCCUUCACCACAGGCUUGGGACGCCACAGCUCCCCUCCAAUGGGGAACAGCCACAAUGGCUGCUGGGCCAAAUGGCACGUGGCGAGCCUGGCUGCCACCAUCGUCCAGCCAAUAAACAACAGGACUGGGAGCUAUUCUGCAAUGUAAGUGGCUCCCAGCUGGGCUUGCAUUCUCUGUCCUCAAAGGUGCAGGCUGGCUCAGGCUGGCACGGGGGGGCGGGGUGAGGAACCACCUUGUGGGAAGUAGGAGAGUUUAUGUCACCAGUGCGCAACCGUGAGCGGGCCGUGUGCAAUUCCGCUGGGGGAGUGGUGUCGUCUCCAGACAACCUCUUCCCGCCACAGCCUCGUGGCGCAGUCGGCACGGAGGCGGCAGCCGCCAUAGACGUGUGGUGGUUGCGCUGCGCGGGAACACCGGCUUGGAGGCACCUCCGGCAGAUCCAGGGAAGCAGGAACCAUCACGCCUGAGUCAGGAACUGCCUAAUUGGAUAGAGUUGAAGAGCAGAGCGACUCUGAAGUGACUGUGUUAUUGCAGCAUCUGCGCUGCCAGCAGGGCCAACCCAGAAAGGUGAGCAGCUGUGAGGUGGGCCCUGUUGGGAGGGUCUCUGGAACCCCUGCAAAGAGUGUGGAGAGGGGACUGCCUGCCAGCGUUCAC